UGUGUGUGUGUGUGUGUGUGUGUGUGUGUGUGUGUUUGCAUGUGCAUGCACAGAGACACAGAUUUUCCAGAGGAGAAAACUUGACUUGAAUAAGAGAACAGAGAAUGCAUGAAGCAGCAAGCAAUGAAGACAAAAGUUCUGAGGAUGCCAUGUGAUUGGUGGAGAAGAGAUGGAGGUGUGGCUGCCAGAGUGCAGGUGAGAGGUGAUUGGUGGGAUAAGACCAGAGCCGAAUGUGACACAACAGUUUUUCAAAUCUCCACUGUAUUCCAUCUCAGCACGUAAAUCUAAAUAUUUGAAGGAUGCUGAGUGCUUGGAGAUGACUGACUAACAUGUCAUCUGAGGACGGGGACCUCCUGUCACACCACUCAUCUAAUCUGUUCUUAUGGUAUAAAUCAUUUGUUGUCCCUGUUUAGUACAAACAACAAUAGACAUAGGAUCAAAAGCAACUGCAUUUCGAUUCAAAACCUGGUCUCAAGCGUUCUGUUCCCUCUGUGUUUUGAGAUAUACAAGCACACUCUACGCUCUGGCAUGAUGGGCAGCACAUGAUUUUAGAAAUCUGUUCAAAUCUGUUCUAGAACUUUGCCCACUGUGUUGAGAGAAGAUCAUGGUGGAUAGCUAGGACACCUGGCCUUUCAUUGUGGAAAGCGCUCAGCUCAGUUCCAUUCCAGAGAAUGGGAGCCAUCGCAGCAAUACGAGAGCAAUUAAAGGCAGAUACAGGAUGAGCGGGAUGUAAUAUCCCGUUUGUCUGGAGAGGAUUGUUGCAGCAUGUUGAUGCUCUCAACCACACUAAUCAAAAAGUAAUUUAUCUUUCAUGUUAACUCAUAGUCUGAAGCUCAAGGGUAGUUUUUAAUUCCAUAUUGCCAGUGUCAUUAUCAUACCAUAAAGUAUCGUUUAACAAGUUGAUUCGUGACUUCACACGGUGUUGUUUCUGUUAGUUUAUUUACCAAACUGUUUUUGGCCUUGGCUUACUUUUACUCGCGCAGCCCAAUGUAGCAUGAUUUCUCUCUGACUGUUAUUUGUGCUGCAUGUCUACAGAUUCUAGGGUUUAUAGCCUUCUGUUUUGUAGUUAGUUUUGUAUGAUGAUUGCUUAACAUUAACUUGAUGUCAGACAUGCCACAUUCAUCAAGAGAUGAAGAGAGCAUUUUUCUUUCAUGAGCUAUUCAUGUCGAUCUUUAGGUUUGUUUAUCCCACAACUGUCCAUUCUGUCAAAACCACAUACCCCGAAACUGAGACAUCUUAAACCUGUUUGUAUUGAAGUUUUUCUACCAAAAUACGCAAAUCAUUAUCUUGUGGUCUACUUUUCAGCAGAACACAUUUCAAAUGAUGGCCUCGCCAGCUUUGAAUGAAAAAUGCUGACAAGCCCCGAUCAUUUUCUUGAAUGCCUCUUUGUCAUCUAUUGCCCCAGUGACUCCCAUUAUUCAAUCAAUCUCACGCAGCCUUUUCCAUUACCUCUCUGGGGGCCGUCUCAGGUCAUGUGACCCCUGCAGGUGUCCUCCAGAUGUGGCUGAGCCAGUCCGUGUGACUCCCUUUUCAGUAUUUAAUCUACUGGUCGGAAGGAAAUAGAAUAUAUAUGCUCUGGUAUGGAUGGCAAAGGCCUGUUGACAUACUAAACUGUAAGCAAAUGACAUGAACUCAUGGGUGGAACAAGAGAUGUUUCCAGCCUUCAGAAGUUUACAUUCAUGCUGGAGGAUCUGCAUCUCAGGGCCGGGCUAAUCUAUUCCUUUUCCUUUUCCUUUCUUCUUCUUCUUCUUCUGUCAGAUAACACUGAUGAUUGACUGAUUAAAGGCCAGUCCUUGAUUCUAAUCCAUUACACUUCUCAUUUUAUGCAGCCAAAUUCUCCUCACGUUCAUCUAGCUGUCUGUCCAGACAAACUAAGCUGGUGUUCCUGCUCUGUCCUGGCACUGCCAAUGGGAAACAAACGAAGUGGCCCGCACCGAGCCAUACACUAGUUCAGCCAAUCAGCAACAUUGCUUUAAGGGAGGGCUGCAUUUGAUUGGCUGGUGAGCCCAAGUAUCAAAAACAUUUUGUGAGAAAUCUAGACCUCUCUGUAGGAAAUAUAUAACCUAGAAGAACUCACACAUGCCCUUAAUCACAUGGGUCCUGUCAUGUCCUUAAAAUACCAUGAUAGAGAUUCAGUUCUUUAAUGCAUAUUUAAAAAAAAAAAACACCAGCAAGAUGUAGAUUUGGUUAUAUUAAUGCAAAAACUUGCUUAAUUUGUAUUAGUCAUACAGUGACAUUAUUUUGCCUGCCUUUUUCGUUGAGGUGUUUCUUUAAUUGUGUUUUUAUUUUCGUUUUUUUUUUGUUUUUGUCAGAAAAGUUUAUUAGGGUAUUUAUUUGGCUAUUAUUCUAGGGGCGUGACGAAGAAUGUGAUGAAGGGGAUGUGUGAUUUAUGACAGAAAAAGGAUUAUGGCACUAUGUGAAAGAAGACCGCCAUGCAUGUUUUAUAGUACGUGCAGAACAUUUGUCAACUUGUGUUAGUUCAGAAAGAGUGAUAUUUGUAGCACAUUAGCUAUUUUAUGUCCACCAUGUAGGAGAAUGAAUGACCACAGACAAGCCUUUCCCAGCUGGACAGAGGGUGCACGCCACGUGAGCACUCAUGGCAGCCUUUGAGUCCCAGGCCGGGCCGCUCCGUGGGCCAGCCAUGGCUGCAUUGUGGCGGGGGCUCAUUUGAAUAGCCCCUUAGUAUUUUGGGGGGAGCAAGUCAGCACCAUUUGCAUUCGUUCCAGUCACAAAGGUUUAUAGGUCAGCGUCAGAGACGCAGGCUUGAGAAAAACCUAAACACCUCCACAUAUUUCUUUGCUUUUCACUCUGCAUCCUUCAACAUUUAUUUGUUCUGCAUGUAGUUGUCCUAAUUCCACUUUUUCAUCUUCUUCAUGUUCAAAUCUCACUGGACUACUUAUAAAAGAUAGGCUCUAGGGUGUUGGCACCUUUGAACUGUGUUCAUUUCAUUGGCACGGCUUGUGCCUAUUCCUUGCAUGUUUAAAUGUGUUGUGUUGUGUUGGUAAGGGAAGGGUGUGGGUUACAGGGAGAUAUUUACAUGAACAAGAAUUUAGCCACAAGCUUAAGAUAUUAUGGUAGCUGUUCUUUAACUCCGGUGUAAGUUGCACAGAUUUGUCUGCUGUCUAAUUUAGUCACGUGUUCCAAUUAAGUCGUUAGAACAACUGUUCACGCAGAGGGAUUGUAAUAAUACAUUUUUUUUUAAUUGAGGUUUUCUGUGAUAUUUGAAAUGACGUUGCUAUUGAGCGUCCAUGUGAGCCACAGAGUGGGCUCUAUGUGAUCUGUCUGUCUUCAGGCAUCCUACUCCAGGUUCUCUCUGCUUCUUCCUCCAGAAAUGUUUCCUUGACUGAUCUCCUGGACCGUGGAGUUUAUGGAGAUUAGCUAUUUUAUUUAGAAGUAUGUGAGGGGGUCUGUCUCUCUCUCUCAAUCUCUGUGUGUGUGUGUGUGUGUGUGUGUGUGCGUGCGUGCGUGCGCGCAUGUCUGCUUUCAUUCAAUGUGGCCACAAGAAGGCAGUGUGUGUCCUAUAUAGUUGUGCUGAGGCAUGGGUGAAAAGAGGCGUCUGAGGACCUGUGCAGGCCGCUGGAGACGUGUGAAACGGCACACAAAGGAGGCUGCUCUAUCUGUAUGCACACGACAUAAAGGCUCCUUUUGUUAGCGUCUGCGUCCUCAUGACUGUUAGCAUCUCAGACUCCUGCAGCUGCCCUGCCCCCCACCGCAGAGCAGAGCAGAGCAGAGCAGAGCACGGGCUGCAGGAGAGCCCUUAACCCUGAGCAGGGACAAACUGCCAGUUCACUCACGCAGUAUAUAGUGUAUUGAGACUAUAGCAAUUAGCCUUAUUUUAGUGCACAGCCACAUAUUCUCGGAGGAUAUUCAUUUUUGAAUUGUGUUAGAUAAGGUAUUUUCAGUCAUUGCUUUUAGUGCCCAAUCAUUAUUACAAAGAGUCUGAUUAGUCCACCUCACGUAUUACCUUUGUGUACAACUUCAUCAAGACUCUUCUUGAUCUUAACCCCCUUCACUGAACUCUCAAACAGACACACAGGCACCUUGCACAUUUUAGGCUAAAGAUAGCAAUAUAGUUUUCUUGGAUUCUGACAGAUAGCUGGAAUACUGGUUAUACUUGAGAAAGAAUAAGGACAGUAAAAGAGAGUUUAAUAGUGGCUGGCCUGGCUGGCUGGCUGAAACUUGCACCUAGACCUGUGUCUGGAAAACAAGGGCAGGGCAGAGUCCUCCUGUUUAUUUUUAAACGCACCAGACUGGCAGUGUGCCGAAACUGAUAUUGCAUGGCAGGGAUAAGCGAGGUCAAGACUGGGACUGUGUGCGUUGGGCGUAUGACCAGUAUAGUGCUGUCCUAACAUCAGGUCAUGUGAAGCUUAUAAGAUUUGAUAUUGCACCACGAGCCUUCAUAGACAAAACGUAGCUAUUUAAAAAACACACCCAUGUUUCUCAGUGUUAGUAAAUAUAUUGGUAAUUCUCAAAAUAGCCGUCCAAAUAUUACUUUAACUAUUGACACUAAAUAUUAUAAAAAAAAAUGUAUUGGGUAACAGGUGGACAUUAUGGGGUCUUGAACAGUAAGGAUUGUUCUCAGUUUAGCGGGUCUGUGUGUGCCCUUGGGAAGCAUUCCGUAGUUUGACUGAAAUCACUCAUUAACCACCAUUUUAUCAACUCUGCUGCAGCCUACUAACUGUUACACACUUGGCCUCGUUUUAAAUAGUGUUUGAAGCACUUCUCAUGCCUGUCUUCAGUCGAUACCAUACAGGAGAGAACUCUGUAGAAUCCCUACAAUCCCCUGAAUAGAAUAGGGCAGUUUGUGUGUGUGUGUGUGUGUGAUCUCCUCCAUAAUUGCAUGAAGGCUGUGUCCAUGUGUGUCUGUCCCUGGGGGCCGUUGGGACACAGGCAUGGCGGAUUGGGUGUGGCGGGCUCGGCUGGGGCGAAUCCUCUCUGUGCUGUCCAUGCAGGGCUGUGACGUGGCACACGCUAGCGCCGGCUCUGGGCCCACGCCUUUAAGAGUGAGCACCGUACCACUCCCCACACUCCCCACACUCCCACCCCACGCGGCCAUGCAGAGAAGGCAAAAAAGGUCCAUGCUGGUCCAUGCUUUAACACCAGCACCCAGCCCUAACAGGACGCUGGCACAUGGGCCUCGGCAGAAACAGGUCUCAGGGAAACAGGUUUGUUCAGUGUAUGCCUCUGUUGAUGCACAGGAUUCCUGUGAUGCCUUUAAUGAUUCUUGUCUGGUUGUAAGGAUUAUAACACAUGGAUAUGUUCAACACAGAAAUUAGGGAGGGAGUAUGCAGCUAUUUGUAACAUAUAAGGCAUACUAAAUGUUCAAUAUCCGAUAUAUAUGUAUAUAUAUAUAUAUAUAUAUAUAUGUGGGAUCCUCAUUAUGAGCUCAGGGCAGUGGUAUUAAGUAAUCUCAUGUUAUUAGCACAACCUCCUUGACAUUAUUGUCCCUUAUGCACUUUCUUGAAUUAAUGUUCCAUGAACAUGCAUAUGUAAAAUAUUUAUUUUUAGCAAUAGGAGAUUCUAUAACUGCUGUAAACAUAUUGCUUUAUUCCUCUUUUGAAUGUGUAGCAGCACAAACGAGUUUUGGGAUUAGUUUGCUGGCCGCUCGCUAUUGUAGGUCAUAUUAUUGGCUAGCGAAACAACAGCCACUUACUACUUCAAUGUCAGUUUCAACUUACUGUCUUCUGCACAAUGGAAAGUUAGUUUUGUAAGCAAACAUGUUUGAAAGAUACUGCACGUUGCAUUAUCUAUUUAUGGUAGAAGCCUUUCACAGAGUCCCAAAAAUGUUUAAUAAUUAAUUUCAGUAACACGUUAUUUAAUCAUCGCUUAAGUGUGAAAUGUGCAAAGCCAUCAGCAGUCUAUAUAUUUUUUUUAGUUAAGCUCUAAAAUUACUCAUAACAAAUGUUGAUUUUUUUUCCCCUUUUGUUUGUUUGUUGUCUGGAGUAUUUGCCUGUAAUUAUACAGAGCAAAAUGCCUGUCGCAGUAUAGCAACAGUAGGCAUGCAUAUAAUAAAAUACCAAGUCUGAUGCAUUGGUUAAGAGAGUCUGUAAGCUUGUGACUAAAAGAAAAGAUACAAAUUAUUUUAGAAGGUGAAGGCAUUUUAUUACAGCAGUGAUUGUGAUGAAAUGUUAAAAAGAUGUCCUCAUUGAUUUAAGCAAGCUGUGCGAAGCCUGCCUGAAGGAGUGCGGUGUGUGUCAAACCUGGCACAUGCUAAAAAUGCUCAUUAGAGGGACAUAAAAGAAGGAUUCUGAAAUGAUUUACACAUUCUUUCGGCAUUGAGUGAGAAACAAACAGUUCACUUGAAACGCAAUAUCCAAUGACUUACUUUUACAAAUCAAGUUUAAAAAGUAAUAGUGUAGUAAUACUUUACAUUUGGCAUUCAAUUAGGCAUUUUGCAACAUUGUGUCAUAGAGAGGUUUGUAAGGUUUAUCAUUUAUUUGAUCUGGUAUUUUCAUGCCUUCAUUCAGAUGUGUACAGAGAAUUAUAUUAGCCAUGUAGUUAUACUUUUAGUUUUACUAUCCUUUUAAAUUCUAUUUGCUACUUCAGGUUCAGCAAUUCUUUUCAAAGAGCUAUGAUUAGUCUUUGACUAUUACAUUUUUUUUGGUUUAUUGUUAAGGUAAAGGAUAUUGGACAGUGUAACAGUGUUUGAUAGCUUAUGAGUAUAUUGUUUUUUAUUCUUCUGUCGAAUUUAGAUUAGAUUUAGAUGGUCAACAAAAGCCAUGGUUAUUUACUCACAAUUCUGCAUGACCUUGCUGUGGUGUUACCAGGAUUAAUGUUCUGCCUGUGUGUUAAUUCUACCACACAAUCAUAUAAUGCUAAUGCUAUGAAGAUAGACAAAAAUUAUACUUUAGUUCGACAGAGUAAAAAAUAGAAGCCUCUAUUUAUAUUUUUAUAAUCAGUAAGCAAUAUUUUUGUUCGGUUAACUAAUCAAUAUAUCCGUAUAUUAAAUUGUUAUUGUAUUUGCUCUCACUAAGCCGUCCAUGUUCGAGCUUUUCACCAUGUUUUGUUUUUAUACUUCAAUAUCUUUAAAGACAAGAAGCUGUUUCAUGUGAAACCUCUUUGUUUUGCAUCUGAAACUUUAACAUCCUAUGGAGCGUUUUAGACAUGGAUCAGGACAUUGCAGCACACGCUCAUGCUACCAUUUCUUAAGAAACUAUUUGUAUAUUCUAUUAAUUAUUUCCAUAAUUUUUAACAUAAAAUAGAGAACAUAAGAAAAAAGCAAAAGAGUGCUUUUAUGGUGAAAAGCUCAAGUGUUGAUUCUCUGUUUAGGAUAGAUAUUUCAUCAAUGUCUGGGUGUAUUUUCACAAAUUAAUAUUUAUAGAUUGAAUUAUUAUAAUUUCUACACAACACUUUACUAGUGCACUGUGCAAGACCAACAUAUCUUGGGGAAUAAUAGAUGAACCCACAUUUCGGAUGUGAGAAAUACUCUCUAAUGUAGAGCUAUCUGAAGUAUACAUCUAGUCAUAAAGUGAAUUAUUAGGUUUGAAUUAGGUAUGUAGCCUAAUAUAAGAUUGACAGUUUGAAUCAAGAAAAAAACACUCAUGAAACCAAAUCAACUUGCCAUGUUUUGUUUAAAGCUAUUUAAAGUAAAUUGGCAA
This is a long non-coding RNA of Clupea harengus (Atlantic herring), 7598 nucleotides long. RefSeq lists it as uncharacterized. The record is from RefSeq and is a predicted model, not a curated record. NCBI's taxonomy places the organism in Eukaryota, Metazoa, Chordata, Actinopteri, Clupeiformes, Clupeidae. The transcript has 2 exons.